AACGGGGGGAGCGAGUGUUAUCCGUCAUGACUGGGCGUAAAGGGUAAGUAGGCUGACUUUUAAGUUUAUAAACAAAAGAUUAGAUUUAUGUCUAAGAAAGUUUUUUAUACUGAAAGUCUUGAGUGCGAUAGGGGAUGGCAGUACUCUUGGUGUAAGGGUGAAAUCUAAUAAUAUCAAUGGGGACUAUCAAUAAGCGAAGGCGGCCAUCUAGUUCGUUACUGACGCUGAGGUACUAAGGCGUAGGGAGCAAACAGG
This 255-nucleotide ribosomal RNA is filed under the name uncultured bacterium. RNAcentral describes it as "partial 16S ribosomal RNA". It matches the Rfam family "Bacterial small subunit ribosomal RNA", at positions 524 to 776 of the family's 1533-position model. The record is from RNAcentral.